CGGGGCGUAGCGCAGCUGGCUAGCGCGUCUGCUUUGGGAGCAGAAGGUCCUCGGUUCAAAUCCGAGCGCCCCGACCA
RNAcentral lists this transfer RNA (77 nucleotides) under Candidatus Omnitrophota bacterium. RNAcentral's name for it is "tRNA-Pro". It matches the Rfam family "tRNA". From Rfam's summary of the family: Transfer RNA (tRNA) molecules are approximately 80 nucleotides in length. Their secondary structure includes four short double-helical elements and three loops (D, anti-codon, and T loops). Lineage: Bacteria; Pseudomonadati; Candidatus Omnitrophota. The record is from RNAcentral.